This 354-nucleotide ribosomal RNA is filed under the name uncultured bacterium. RNAcentral describes it as "bacterial SSU rRNA". It matches the Rfam family "Bacterial small subunit ribosomal RNA", at positions 72 to 422 of the family's 1533-position model. The record is from RNAcentral.
AAGUGGAGCAAUCCAUGAGUAAAGUGGCGACCGGGUGAGUAACACGUGACUAACCUGCCUCGAAGUGGGGGAUAACACCGGGAAACCGGUGCUAAUACCGCAUACCCUGAUGAGAUCUGCGGAUUUUGUCAGUAAAGGGAGCAAUUUCGCUUUGAGAGGGGUCCGCGGCUGAUUAGCUAGUUGGUGAGGUAAUGGCUCACCAAGGCAUCGAUCAGUAGCCGGUCUGAGAGGACGGCCGGCCACACUGGAACUGAGACACGGUCCAGACUCCUACGGGAGGCAGCAGUGGGGAAUUUUUGGCAAUGGGGGAAACCCUGACCAAGCAACGCCGCGUGGAUGAUGAAGUAUCUUGGU